Molecule: ribosomal RNA, 257 nt
Filed under: uncultured prokaryote
Description: partial 16S ribosomal RNA
Rfam family: Bacterial small subunit ribosomal RNA
Source: RNAcentral
UACGGAGGAUGCAAGCGUUAUCCGGAUUUAUUGGGUUUAAAGGGUGCGCAGGCGGAUAGUUAAGUCAGCGGUGAAAUCUCACGGCUCAACCGUGGAACUGCCGUUGAUACUGGCUGUCUGGAGUACGGACGGCGCCGGCGGAAUGUGUCAUGUAGCGGUGAAAUGCUUAGAUAUGCCACAGAACACCGAUCGCGAAGGCAGCUGGCGAGGCCGGUACUGACGCUCAGGCACGAAAGCGUGGGGAUCAAACAGGAUUA